Molecule: transfer RNA, 76 nt
Filed under: bacterium
Lineage: Bacteria
Also listed under: 2 other names
Description: tRNA-Ala
Rfam family: tRNA
About the family: Transfer RNA (tRNA) molecules are approximately 80 nucleotides in length.
Source: RNAcentral
GGGGCAUUAGCUCAGCUGGGAGAGCGCCUGCCUUGCAAGCAGGAGGUCAUCGGUUCGAUCCCGUUAUGCUCCACCA